Molecule: long non-coding RNA, 2291 nt
Filed under: Equus caballus (horse)
Lineage: Eukaryota; Metazoa; Chordata; Mammalia; Perissodactyla; Equidae
Description: lncRNA (ENSECAG00000037490.2)
Source: RNAcentral
AUACAGCGGGCAAGGUGGGGCUCCUGUCUGUUCCAUAAGCUGUGAAGCCUUGUCGGAGAGGAGCUGGAGGUAGCCAGUGUGGAGGGCCAGGAAGGAGGUGGUCCAUAAAAUAAGGGUUUCCAGGCCCCACCUGGGGCUGAUCCUCACAAGCAUUCAUUCCUGAAGUGCACAGGAAGUGGCAAAGGCACGAGCAUCAGCAGCUUUACUGAGCACCUGCAGUGGGCCACGCUCGGUCUAGGGAGCACGAACCCCCAAGGAUGGGUCACAUGCAGCCCUGCUGCUGGACCUUGUCUCCCCCAGGUUCCGGGCUGGCUGUGGGCAUCAGCCGGACAGUGUGCACUCCCAUCAUUUCCUUCUCUGCCCCCACAAAUGGUGACCGAAUUCUCUUGCUGCCUUCCCCCUCCAGGGCUGAGCCACGAGGCUUUCCGCCCAGGGAAGGAGACACUUAGAGCCUCAAGGUCUGUGCCUCAGAGCUGCCAGCUCUCUGGGCUGAAGAGAGCUGCCUCGCCCAAGGGCACACACCUUUCCAAGGGCAGCCCGUGUCCAACAGUGAUCAGCUUGGGAUACAAAGCUCGAUGCCUUCACCCCAACUUGGGACCCCCAGCUCUUGAGCUCCCUGAGCCCGUGGUUGAGACUGUAUCACAGCCCGCCUUCUCCCUCUGCCUGGUUCUGCUCAGUCCCUUUCCUGCCUCCACCAGCCUGACCCCUAGAGGACACGCUGACACACUUGCUGCAGGCCAGGCUGCACCUGAGGGCGGCUUCCCUAGGAACCCAAUUGUGGGAGGUUUUUGGGGGAGGGAGGGACUCGGGGUCAGUCUUCGGGGCCCUCUCAGUCCCCGCAGAGUUGGGAAGAAGCCCAGCAGAUCUCACAUGCUUCCCUGGGAGGUCUCAGGACAGCUCCUGUAGAAAAUGAGGCAGGGCACAGCCUACGGGGGACAGUGGCACUGACCGAGCCAAAGCGGAGGAGACCCAAGGUCGCCAGGACUCAGCAGAGGUUGCCUGCAGAAUCCAGGUUCAGGACAGACCCACCUCAUCUCAGCUGUCACCCUCCCAGGGGUGGGACAUUUAUCUUUGAUACCAGCUAUAGGAAAUUAAUAAUCUAUAUAAUCCUUGCCCACCUGAAGGGAGUGUAUGCCAGUUGCCCUAACAUCAUGACAGGACUGGUGUGAGGGCUGUGCUGUCAGGGAAAUAGGUCUGGAAUGGAGGGUGCUAUAGACUGAAUGUCUGUGUCCCCCCAAAAUUCAUAUGUCGAAAUCCUAACCCCCAAUGUGAUGGAGCUGGGAGGUGGGGCCUUUGGAAGGUGACUGGGUGAUGAGGACAGAGCCCUCAGGAAUGGGAUUAGCGCCCAUACAGAAGAGACUCUGGAAAGCUCCCCGCUCCCUUCCAUGACGUGAGGACACAGGGAGAAGCUGGCCGCCUGUGAGCCAGGAAGCAGGCCCUCACCAGACAGAGAAUCUGCUGGCGCCUUGAUCUUGGACUUCCAGCCUCCAGAACCGUGAGAAAUACAUUUCUCUUGUUUGUAAGGCACCCAGACCUGGUAUUUUGUUAUAGCAGCCCAAACAGACUAAGACAGAGGGUAAGAAGAGGAUGCUGGGGAAAUCCUCUGGGGUCCCUGAUGGCUUGCCCAUGCGAGGGGGCCAUCAGUUCAGAUGUUGAGCUUCAAAAACCUACUGUGUAGUAGGGAAGACAAGAUUUAGACACACCAACUGUAAUUCCAUCUUUGGAUACCUGCUGGUCCAGGUACAAGGCUGGGCACUUGAGGGAUGCCGGCUGGGCCUGCUCCAGGAGCUUGCAGUGUGGCUAUGACAUGUACACGUCACAGCAGUAUGAGACAUUAGCACGUGGUGUCAGCAACUACGCACUUACUCCAUGGAAGAGAAACACAAAGACUACAGGUGUCCGGGUGGAGGCCACAUGCUCUCCCGCUGGGGCACACAGGAAAAGCUGCACACUUGGAGCAAUGAGGUGAGAAAAGGUCCUUAAAAACACUCCCAGAGUUCUGAGGAGGAGACUGCACAAUCACAGGCAUGGUCACAUCCUUCUCCAGCACAGGCCACACUCGCCUGUCUCUGCGAGGGCCGGGACCACGGGGACCAGGUCUUCUUCCUCUCAUCCUUGCCACAUUAGCACCCAGCACAGGCCCUGGAGCUUAGUGGGCUCCUCUGCUGCACCGCACUGCCUUGCAAGGAGGGGGAGCCCAGUCCCGUCUCUCAGGGAAACUGGGGACUUGGGACUCCAGGGUCGAGUUGCUCCCAAAGGUGGAGAAGCUUUCUUCAAUCUGUGGGGUUUUC